UUGGGGCGUGGUCCCAGCUUUCAGGCAGCUCGCUGUCUGCCUAAAAAACCCUCUGACUCACAAAGCAGCAUCUCUCCUCUGGGGGAGCUUCUUGGGCUUCCAGGAAAGGCUGCCCUUGGCCUGUGGCUCCGAACCUGACUUCUUUGCCCACUGAAAGGGCUCAGUCUAAAUUUGCCCCUUCAAACAAAGCUUCUUCAUGUUCAUCCUCAUGUCCAUAGCUGAGUGGGACCAGACCAUAGCAUCCAGAGAGGCAGUAUUCCUUUUCCAACCCAAACAUGGCAAUCGGAUUGCCUUUUAGCAAUAUUCGCCAGGGUUUCUUCACAGGGGAAAUAGGAUUCCACCCUCAUUUUCCAUGGCGGCUUGCUGCUCCGUUUGUGGUGGUCGCACGCCUGGAAUCAGCAGCAGCAAGAUGGGCCGUCUCUAAUUCACAGAGAUUUGCAUGCAGGCUGCGUGCCUUCCUUAUCUAGGGAGACGCAUUGUCAGGGCCGCUGGAAGGCAUCCUUCAGUCACCCCCACGGUAGCACCAGUGCACAGGUGGCAUCUUCUGCCAUUACUGAGGGCGUCAAUUUAGUGUCAACAGGGAGACGAGACUCGCUUUCCUAAAGGCAAGGCUUCUUGAUUAGAUUUCCUUACCCAACAGUAGAGGUAAAAGCAGACCCACAUUUUUCAAUCUGUCUUGCUCUUUGGCACACAUGGAAAGUGGCUGGUAGCACAGCGGUGGGCCUUCGUUAUCUGUGCUGGGGAAAAUGGCAGGCGUUUCUCAGUCACCUUCUUGGUUAGGUAACACGUGCCCUUGGUGUAAACCUCAGAGGGUGCGUAAGGGCACACAGUGCACGCAUCUCCCUGCCAGGUGUGUCUCCUGGCCGCCCAGCACCCCUCCUCAGAAGCCACCACGGCUCAUGAGCGGAAGUACCCUUUCCCUUUCAGAGAGACUCCUAUGUGUUUUCAAGUGAAUA
This 956-nucleotide long non-coding RNA is filed under the name Homo sapiens (human). Its description in RNAcentral is "HSALNT0266880". The record is from RNAcentral. Lineage: Eukaryota; Metazoa; Chordata; Mammalia; Primates; Hominidae.